AAUUGAAGAGUUUGAUCAUGGCUCAGAUUGAACGCUGGCGGCAGGCCUAACACAUGCAAGUCGAACGGUAACAGGAAGCAGCUUGCUGCUUUGCUGACGAGUGGCGGACGGGUGAGUAAUGUCUGGGAAACUGCCUGAUGGAGGGGGAUAACUACUGGAAACGGUGGCUAAUACCGCAUAACGUCGCAAGACCAAAGAGGGGGACCUUCGGGCCUCUUGCCAUCAGAUGUGCCCAGAUGGGAUUAGCUAGUUGGUGAGGUAACGGCUCACCAAGGCGACGAUCCCUAGCUGGUCUGAGAGGAUGACCAGCCACACUGGAACUGAGACACGGUCCAGACUCCUACGGGAGGCAGCAGUGGGGAAUAUUGCACAAUGGGCGCAAGCCUGAUGCAGCCAUGCCGCGUGUAUGAAGAAGGCCUUCGGGUUGUAAAGUACUUUCAGCGGGGAGGAAGGUGUUGUGGUUAAUAACCGCAGCAAUUGACGUUACCCGCAGAAGAAGCACCGGCUAACUCCGUGCCAGCAGCCGCGGUAAUACGGAGGGUGCAAGCGUUAAUCGGAAUUACUGGGCGUAAAGCGCACGCAGGCGGUCUGUCAAGUCGGAUGUGAAAUCCCCGGGCUCAACCUGGGAACUGCAUUCGAAACUGGCAGGCUUGAGUCUUGUAGAGGGGGGUAGAAUUCCAGGUGUAGCGGUGAAAUGCGUAGAGAUCUGGAGGAAUACCGGUGGCGAAGGCGGCCCCCUGGACAAAGACUGACGCUCAGGUGCGAAAGCGUGGGGAGCAAACAGGAUUAGAUACCCUGGUAGUCCACGCCGUAAACGAUGUCUACUUGGAGGUUGUGCCCUUGAGGCGUGGCUUCCGGAGCUAACGCGUUAAGUAGACCGCCUGGGGAGUACGGCCGCAAGGUUAAAACUCAAAUGAAUUGACGGGGGCCCGCACAAGCGGUGGAGCAUGUGGUUUAAUUCGAUGCAACGCGAAGAACCUUACCUGGUCUUGACAUCCACAGAAGAAUCCAGAGAUGGAUUUGUGCCUUCGGGAACUGUGAGACAGGUGCUGCAUGGCUGUCGUCAGCUCGUGUUGUGAAAUGUUGGGUUAAGUCCCGCAACGAGCGCAACCCUUAUCCUUUGUUGCCAGCGGUCCGGCCGGGAACUCAAAGGAGACUGCCAGUGAUAAACUGGAGGAAGGUGGGGAUGACGUCAAGUCAUCAUGGCCCUUACGACCAGGGCUACACACGUGCUACAAUGGCGCAUACAAAGAGAAGCGACCUCGCGAGAGCAAGCGGACCUCAUAAAGUGCGUCGUAGUCCGGAUUGGAGUCUGCAACUCGACUCCAUGAAGUCGGAAUCGCUAGUAAUCGUGGAUCAGAAUGCCACGGUGAAUACGUUCCCGGGCCUUGUACACACCGCCCGUCACACCAUGGGAGUGGGUUGCAAAAGAAGUAGGUAGCUUAACCUUCGGGAGGGCGCUUACCACUUUGUGAUUCAUGACUGGGGUGAAGUCGUAACAAGGUAACCGUAGGGGAACCUGC
This 1523-nucleotide ribosomal RNA is filed under the name Salmonella enterica. RNAcentral's name for it is "bacterial SSU rRNA". It matches the Rfam family "Bacterial small subunit ribosomal RNA". Lineage: Bacteria; Pseudomonadati; Pseudomonadota; Gammaproteobacteria; Enterobacterales; Enterobacteriaceae. The record is from RNAcentral.